UCACCACUCGCUGUUCCUUCAGCAUUUAAGCUCUCUGGCAGUGACUCAAUGUUUACAAUCGCAUUAACCUGUGAGGAACGCCGUGGCUGUGUCGAAGAACAAGGCCCCUGCUGGCACCAAGGUAGGUCACGCCUUCCAAUGGAAGGGGAAGCAGUGACAAAGGUGAAAAUCAUGGCGGUAACAGAAGUCAUUUACAGUGCGGAGUCUCCAACCCACAAUCACUGGGCAUCCCAUGGCUUUA
This 241-nucleotide long non-coding RNA is filed under the name Homo sapiens (human). RNAcentral describes it as "HSALNT0022468". Lineage: Eukaryota; Metazoa; Chordata; Mammalia; Primates; Hominidae. The record is from RNAcentral.